AAAUAACAGUUAACUGACAAAUACACUAGACUUGGGCUCCAUUAGCGACCUUAAACAAUUUCACACAUUCGUUGAUUCAUGAAAUACCGUUUUAUCAUUUAUUGAACUUUAAAACCGUGAUAGGAAAUAAGGUGAGGGGUCCUUACACGUUUCGGGGUCCGAACACGGCUUCACAGUGUGCCUACAGGCUGUCCUUAAUUUUUCCUGAAUUUUUCUCGGGGAACUGAAACGCACCACUGGUACCUGCACGUGUUCCAAAAAAUCCCAAAUUAGGCCCAGGGCCCCUUUCGGCCAAUAUCGCAACUCCAGCACGGCGGCUCCGCCGUGCUCCGGCGACGGCACCGCCGCUGGCGGCGGCGAUUCGCCUCGGGUUGGCUGUUUUCGGCCGUUAUCGGCCGUUUCUGGCCGAAUUCGGCCACACUCGCAUCGGUCCCUGCGAGAAAACAACCCUAGGGCCCUCGAGGGGCCAAAAAAUCACAGAAAAACGGAGCUUACCGGCGGCGGCGCUCUCGGGUGCGGCGGCUCUCCGGCGAGGUUCGUGUUUUGGUGAUUCGGCUUUGGUCAACCUGUAGAGAAAAGAAUGGUGAU
Molecule: long non-coding RNA, 588 nt
Filed under: Carica papaya (papaya)
Lineage: Eukaryota; Viridiplantae; Streptophyta; Magnoliopsida; Brassicales; Caricaceae
Description: long non-coding RNA (CPAP_LNC012982)
Source: RNAcentral